Molecule: ribosomal RNA, 239 nt
Filed under: uncultured bacterium
Lineage: Bacteria
Description: partial 16S ribosomal RNA
Rfam family: Bacterial small subunit ribosomal RNA
Source: RNAcentral
CCGGCGCACGGGUGAGUAACGCGUAUCCAACCUGCCGUCUACUCUUGGACAGCCUUCUGAAAGGAAGAUUAAUACAAGAUGGCAUCAUGAGUCCGCAUGUUCACAUGAUUAAAGGUAUUCCGGUAGACGAUGGGGAUGCGUUCCAUUAGAUAGUAGGCGGGGUAACGGCCCACCUAGUCUUCGAUGGAUAGGGGUUCUGAGAGGAAGGUCCCCCACAUUGGAACUGAGACACGGUCCAA